RNAcentral lists this long non-coding RNA (2597 nucleotides) under Olea europaea subsp. europaea. Lineage: Eukaryota; Viridiplantae; Streptophyta; Magnoliopsida; Lamiales; Oleaceae. The record is from RNAcentral.
GGCCUUUACAUUUAUGUUCUUUCACUUUGUCAAUGUUAAGUAGUAAUUUCGAUCCAACCCUAUUAACAUAUUAGGUCAAAAUUGAGAAAGAUGCAGUUCCCAGAAGCACAAUGAACAAAAAAGGUGUAUUAGCUAAGAACAAAACUCUGACGGAUGCCAUGGAAACAUAAUGUUUAACCUUGUUUAAAACUUUGGAAACUAGUACAAAACAUCAUUAAGCUUGAGCAAAUAUUUAGCUCUCUACAUAAUAUAUACACAAAGAAAUAGGGGUUUGGAGAUUCUAUUCAAUUAGGUCCCCAACAGCUCAAAUACAUAACUGUUCUCAGUGAUUCCUCAGAUUUCUUCAACUUCUGAUCUUCCUUCAUCUUUUUACAUAUAAUUGUUGAAGAGGGUACUCCAGAGAGUCUCUUGGUCUCAGUGUAUGAUCUGAGGUUGUUCUUGGNACAGUCAGCAUGUAUAUAUAUAUAGAUGGGUUAAACCAAACGGACAGAGCCGUGGAUGUCAAGGGCCCUAUGUGGUGCAUCCACGGCCCCAUGUGGUACCCCCAGCAAGAUAGGCUGACUUUGAUUUUGAAGUAUAUACCUAAACCAGUCAAGUUUGACGUACAUUUUAUUUGACAUCUUUUUUAACAGAAUGUCAUUUGACAGUUUCAAAAUAAAGAUGUCUUUUUAUUCAAUAAAUACAUUUUUGCUAACACACUUUCCUGUAAAUAAUGUACAAGUGUCAAAUUCCUAUCCAAAAAGGGUACAGUCAGCAUGUAUAUAUAUACAGAUGGGUUAAACCAAACGGACAGAGCCAUGGAUGUCCAGGGCCCUAUGUGGUGCGUCCACGGCCCCAUGUGGCACCCCGAGCAAGAUAGGCUGAUUUUGAUUUUGAAGUAUAUACCUAAACCAGUCAAGUUUGACGUACAUUUUAUUUGACAUCUUUUUUAACAGAAUGCCAUUUGACAGUUUCAAAAUAAAUAUGUCUUUUUAUUCAAUAAACACAUUUUUGCUAACACACUUUCCUAUAAAUAAUGUACAAGUGUCAAAUUCCUAUUCAAAAAGGGUACAGCCAAUAUGUAUAUAUAUACAGAUGGGUUAAACCAAACGAACAGGGUCAUGGAUGUCCACGGCCCUAUGUGGCACCCCCUAUUGGGCGCGCCUAUCCCCCCAAGAAUCUCCCUAUACAGAUUGGGAAAGGUUAAGCGGUUUUAGUUAAAAUCAGCUGCUCCAGUGUAUAGUUUUUGGAUGUGAUUACCAAGACUCCUAACAAUCCGGACAAAUGGGGGAAACCGCGUGGAAAGGUUGAUUAGAUAAUAAUCAAGGGGCUCCACUUGGCUUUUAAUUUUAAUAGUUAAAGCCCGUUUGAGAGUGAUUUUGAGAAUUUAUUUUUUGAUCGUUAGAAGAAAAGUGGGGUUUACUUAUGAGAAAAUAAAUCAAAUAUGAAGGCUGAAAUAGUGAAAUAAUCGUCAUAAAAUCAAUUUUUUGGUGAAAAAAUUGGAUCCAAACAGGCUCUUAAUUAAAAUGCACAAAAAUAAUUAAGUAGACGUAGCAGAAAUGCUUUGAUAACAUGAAUUUCUAUUCCUCAACGAUAUUCCACAAUCAAAACAAAAAGCUUUAGGAGUCACUGAAACAACUGCGGGAUCAUAUUGGAGUUGGGACCCAAAUGAAACUUGGGCAUUUAUUAUUUCGAUUUCUUUGAUUAAUUUGAUGGUUAUCAGGAAUUUCAACUGCGCUCAUAUUCGUCACUAGGAAUUGGACAAGUUUUGAAAUAUUCAUAUUACACAAAAGAUUAUUCAUAUAUUUUUGCGUACGGAACAUGGCCUUUACAUUUAUGUUCUUUCACUUUGUCAAUGUUAAGGAGUAAUUUCGAUCCAACCCUAUUAACAUAUUAGGUCAAAAUUGAGAAAGAUGCAGUUCCCAGAAGCACAAUGAACAAAAAAGGUGUAUUAGCUAAGAACAAAACUCUGACGGAUGCCAUGGAAACAUAAUGUUUAACCUUGUUUAAAACUUUGGAAACUGGUACAAAACAUCAUUAAGCUUGAGCAAAUAUUUAGCUCUCUACAUAAUAUAUAUACAAAGAAAUAGGGGUUUGAUUCAAUUCAAUUAGGUCCCCAACAGCUCAAAUACAUAACUGUUCUCAGUGAUUCCUCAGAUUUCUUCAACUUCUGAUUUUCCUUCAUCUUUUUACAUAUAAUUGUUGAAGAGGGUACUCCAGAGAGUCUCUUGGUCUCAGUGUAUGAUCUGAGGUUGUUCUUGGCAUGUUGUUGCAGUAGCCUCAUGGCAUAAUUCCAUCUACAGAAUCCCUGAUCUUUCAGUGCCUCAACAGCCCCAAUGCUUGCUCCCACUAACCAAGCCCUGCUCGUGGAACUCAUUUCAGCUUCUUCUUUCGUACUGAAUCAGUGUUUAUUACCAAUGGAUAUGAAUGGUGAUGAAGAAUGAUGAGGAGAAUGUGUGUUUAUAUAAGAAACUGGUGCAGGUUUCGCCAGCAGAAAAGGAAAGCCCCCAGUUUUAGGUGGUAGUAUUAUAUCCAUAUGCAUUAAGGAUUGUGCCAAUGAAUUUAGACCAAUUGGAAAGAAAGAGAGCAGAUAUGUACGAACUCACAUCAGGUACCAC